UGUCGGUGACACGCAGCGGCAGCGCUUUUGGUUUCGUUUUCGUCUACUGUGCAGUGGCCAGUGAGCAUUCUACAGCCAUCUCUUUCUCUCCCAUGCUUCAUAAGCUGUUGACCAGAUUCUAAACUAAAUUGUGAUAAGUGGCAGUCUGGCUGGUUAUUUGAGGCCACCAAAGAGGAGGAGUAUCUUUCUUUAAGAUCUAUGUACCACUGCCAGAAGUAGUACCAAUAGAAAAGAGACAGAAACUUUGUAGCGGAGAAGAGGAUCCAUCAAAAAGGGAUAAGUGGAUGUGCUUUUAGGAUGUGCCAGCAGCGAAAAAGUUUAUACGUAGAUUAACUACAACCGGAGAAACUAUUUCAAAUAACUGCAAAAUGAUUGACAACGAUGAG
Molecule: long non-coding RNA, 386 nt
Organism: Macrobrachium nipponense
Lineage: Eukaryota; Metazoa; Arthropoda; Malacostraca; Decapoda; Palaemonidae
Exons: 3
Source: RefSeq, a predicted model, not a curated record